GACGAACGCUGGCGGCGUGCCUAAUACAUGCAAGUCGAAAGCAGUGGGGACGGGUGAGUAACACGUUGGUAACCUCCCAUCAGAGGGGAUAACACUUUGAAACAGGUGCUAAACCGAUACUGAUGGAUGGCCCCGCGGUGCAUUCGCUGUUUGGUGAGGUAACGGCUACACAAGUCCAUGAUGCAUAGCCGACCUGAGAGGGUGAUCGGCCACACUGGGACUGAGACACGGCCCAGACUCCUACGGGAGGCAGCAGUAGGGAAUCUUCGGCAAUGGACGAAAGUCUGACCGAGCAACGCCGCGUGAGUGAAGAAGGUUUUCGGAUCGUAAAACUCUGUUGUUAGAGAAGCGGUAUCUAACCAGAAAGCCACGGCUAACUACGUGCCAGCAGCCGCGGUAAUUC
This 403-nucleotide ribosomal RNA is filed under the name uncultured bacterium. RNAcentral's name for it is "partial 16S ribosomal RNA". It matches the Rfam family "Bacterial small subunit ribosomal RNA", at positions 28 to 526 of the family's 1533-position model. The record is from RNAcentral.